AUCUCCGCGCUGAAUUGUACACUGCCGUAAUGUGUUUUCUCCUGCAGUCGUCAUUCGGGAUACCAACGCGUUAUCGUGUGUACGCGUUUUCUUAAACCGACGUACGUGGUGAUCCAUUGUUCGAGGCAUAGCUUGUAAUCUCAUUUUCAAACCCGUCGGAGGGAUGAUUUAUAUCUAGCUCUGAUAACGAAAUAUAGUUAGUGUGUUGAAAAUACAGCUCGAGAAAUAUACUGCUAGCACGACGAAAUCUUGAGAGAGUUCUCUCUUUCUCUCUCUGUUCGCGAGUGUGUGUGCGUGUCAGUGGGCAUUGGAAAAGUUGCUCGUUUUUCGAAAAGUCGUGUCGUCGCCAAGCCAUCAAGCCAAAGAUCCUACGAUAAUUGAUAUACAAGGAUCUGUGUUUGUUUAAAAAACUCUCAGCGUUUGAAACAGCCAGGGUUUGAAUUAUUGAUACGUCCCCAGUCAGGUACAAUACUGACACUUGAAAAUUCUCUCGAUUGCUUGGCAUUUUCGAUGUAAAUUGAGAUGAAACGCGUUCGCGGGGUGGAAGAGAUAGGACCGCCAACCGCGUCACAGUCGCAGCGGCCGCAGCCGCAGCAACCUCAGCAACAGCAGCAACAACAGCAUCAACAGCAGCAGCCACACCAGCAGCAGCAGCUGUCGCAGCAGUUGCAAUUACAGCAUCACAACGUCAGUGUCACGUCGAGCUCGGGUGCAGCCGUCGCUGUUGCUGGCGGCGGCCCCACUGCUGCUGUCGGUGUUGGCCCAGGAUCGCAAAUCGGUCAGACUAUAGAUUAUUUACCUGGCCCGAGCACCUCGUCGGCUGGUAUAAACGUUCAAGCUACCGGCAGACAAUUGCAAGCAAAAGAGAUGCCAGGCAGUAUUCAAUACUCGCAGUCGCAGCAGCAGUACCCUGGCGCGAUUGUCGUUCCUAAUUCUGCGACCGCUCCCAUAAAGACUGUUGAUUUCCAGGGUUACGUGUUGCAGUCCAGUAAUUCAAACAGUGGCUUUCCUGCUAACUCCUCAUGUGCCGCAUCUAUACCAGCAGGGUUAGUAGUUCAUAAUGCUACAAAUUUUGGAAAACAUGCACAAGCUACUACCAGACCAGUUGGUCAAAGCAAAAUGGUACAAGGCAAUCCUCCAACAAUUCAAACGCAAGGGCAUGUCAAUCAAAAUUCUGCUCAGCAGUUUCAAAGGCUCAAAGUUGAAGAUGCGCUAUCAUAUCUCGAUCAAGUUAAAUACAAAUUUAGUGAUCAACCCCAGGUUUAUAAUGAUUUCUUAGAUAUUAUGAAAGAGUUUAAAUCUCAAAGCAUAGAUACUCCAGGAGUUAUUACCAGGGUUAGCCAUUUAUUUAAAGGACAUCCCGAAUUGAUCGUUGGCUUCAACACAUUUCUACCGCCGGGUUACAAAAUAGAGGUUCAGGCAAAUGAACAAGGCUACGCUUUUCAAGUCUCGGUUAGCAUGCCUAGUCCAACAGCCACUCACACCAAUACUACAUCUGCUCACCAAUGUACAGUCAAUGUUGGAUCACCACCUAUUACGAGUCCUCCAAUCCAAUUACCCAAGGCCCAACCUGUUGUACAAAUAAUGCAAGGGGGAGCAACUAUUCAUCCACAAAUAAAUAAUAUUGGCCCAAAUAGCCUUCCAAUGCAUGGAUCUGCAUCACCAGUUCCUGCAUACAAUAACCAUGUGACACAAGCGCAAGCUCAGGCUGUAAGCCAAGCAUUGAGUCAAGCUCAAGAUGGUGUACCAGUGUCAGGUCAACAACAGCAAAAUCAACCAGUAGAGUUUAAUCAUGCGAUUAACUAUGUUAAUAAAAUUAAGAACCGAUUUCAAAGUCAUCCUGACAAAUACAAAAGGUUCCUUGAAAUUCUCCAUACAUAUCAAAAGGAACAACGAAAUAUGAAAGAAUCAGGAAGUGGAAGUGGAGGUAGUGCUGCUGGUAGUGGCAAACAAUUAACAGAAGCUGAAGUUUACAGCCAGGUUGCAAAAUUGUUUGAAAAUCAGGAAGAUUUACUACUGGAGUUUGGCCAAUUUCUUCCUGAUGCUACUAACCAACAAAAUGCACUAGUGAGUAAUCCCGAAAAUAUGCAAACAGAUCAAUUUCUUUCUGCGGUAUUUCAGAAUAAUAAGGUGUGUAAUGUUAAUGAUCACGCAACAAUUGCCAAAAAGCCACCCACCCUGAAACAACAAUACAAUAACGCCGGCCCUGUACCUAGAGAACAAGGGUCGGUUAUUCCUUUCGAUGUACGUGAUCAGCGAGAACGAGAGAAGGAACGUACUGGAAUGAGAGAAGUCAAUGUGCCAAGUCAGAAAUAUGGACACAGUCAGAAUCAAUUAAAAAGGAGUCCGUCAUUUAAUACUACAGUAACAACAAGUAAUUCUCAUCUUCCCCAUGGUCCACCUCCUCCUAAAAAACAUAAAGUAGCGUCUGUUCGGGAUUUAUCCAUAGCAGAAGUAGGGAAGCAUGGAACGUUAGCGGACUACGCCUUCUUUGACAAGGUUCGCAAAGCUCUGCGUUCCCAAGAAGUGUAUGAGAACUUCUUAAGAUGUCUUGCAUUAUUCAACAAUGAAAUCAUAUCUAAGACUGAAUUGGUUACAUUGGUUACUCCGUUUUUGGGACGUUUUCCUGAUCUUUUACGUUGGUUUAAAGAGUUUCUUGGUUAUAUAGACGCAUCGACAUCGCUCUCACCUUCUAACUCUAACUCUAAUUCAGUAUGCAACAUUGAAGCAGUACCAAAUAAUGUAGUUAGGAGUCAUCAAGACAGGCCUCAAGGGGAUCUUGCAAUGGAAAUUGACUAUACGGCAUGUAAACGACUUGGUGCAUCGUAUUGUGCUAUACCAAAAACUUAUAUUCUGCCGAAGUGUGCUGGUAGAACUGCCUUGUGUAAAUCGGUGCUAAAUGAUACUUGGGUAUCGUUCCCGACAUGGUCUGAGGAUAGUACUUUUGUUACGUCAAGAAAAACCUCGUUUGAAGAAAUGAUCUAUCGUUGUGAAGAUGAACGUUUUGAGCUUGAUGUUGUAAUUGAAACAAACGCCGCCACUAUUCGCGUUCUAGAAGCGAUUACUAAAAAAAUGGCCCGAAUGACGCAAGAAGAAUUAUUAAGGUUUAAAUUGGACGAUUGUUUAGGCGGAAAUUCGCCUACGAUACAUCAGCGAGCUAUUCGAAGGAUUUAUGGUGAUAAAGCAGCAGAUAUAAUUGAUGGAUUAAAAAAGAAUCCAGUAGUCGCAGUGCCAAUAUGUCUAAGACGAUUAAAAGCUAAAGAGGAAGAAUGGAGAGAAGCUCAAAAAAGCUUCAACGCCCUUUGGCGAGAGCAAAAUGAAAAGUUUUAUUUGAAGUCUCUCGAUCAUCAGGGUAUUAACUUCAAACAAACCGAUAUUAAAUCGCUCAGAUCGAAAGCCUUGUAUAAUGAAAUUGAGCUCGUAUAUGAUGAGAGACACGAGAAUGAGGAAAAUACUGGCGUUUCAGGAGAUGAGGCUCAUUUAACUUUACAGUAUCCUCCUUUAACGCCCAUUUUGAAUGACGUGUCGAACCUUAUUAUCCAUCAUGUGAAAAGACAAACGUCAAUACAGAAAGGGGAUAAAAAACAAAUAAAAGCAAUACUGAAACAAUUUGUACCCGAUCUAUUUUAUCAUCCAAGACAAGAACUCAGCGAUGAUGAACAAGACGAAGAAAACGACAAAGAUGAUGUGCCCUCCAGCAGUACGGGGAAAAAUACACCUAAUUUGGAUGUUGGCUCUUACAAUGCAGCCGGAUUGCAAGGGAGCAAUAAAAAUAACGACAGUAAAUCACCUGAAACGCCUUCCAAACAUGACGAAGACAACAUGAAAAGAAUGAUUCAAAAUCAUCAUACCAUGAGAGAACCUAAUGAAGCAUACGUCUUUUUCAUGGGCAGCAAUAACUGGUAUCUUUUCAUGAGACUUCAUCAAAUACUCUGCGAUCGAAUAAAUAAAAUGUAUAAUCGAGCCAUGGUUCUUGCUGAAGAAGAAAGGCAGUAUAAACAACAGAGAAAAGAAAGUACAGCGAUUGCCCUUAGAUUAAAGCCUAAAAAUGUACAUAAAAUCGAAGAAUACUACCCUGUUUUUCUGGACAUGAUUAAAAAUCUUCUUGACGGAAAUCUUGACGCUAAUCAAUAUGAAGAUAAUUUAAGAGAAAUGUUUGGUAUCCAUGCCUUCACUGCUUUUACACUUGAUAAAGUUGUAAUAUAUGCUGUGAGACAGCUUCAACAUAUUGUCUGCGAUAAGCCUAGCGUUCAAUGUAUGGAAAUAUUCAGUCGAGAAAGAAAGCGACCAAAAGAGGUUUCUAGUACAGGUGGUCUGUGUCGGACCGCUUAUUUAAGGACUGCCUAUGAAAUGGCAUAUUUCAGAGAUGUCGAACGUUUAAUGACUGACGAAAACAUCUUCAGAAUCGUCAUAUACAAGAAUUGUCUAAAAAUGUUAAUGACGAUGAUUGAUGUCGAGUCCGAGGAUAAUACCCAUUCGAACACUAAUCGUGGUGAUAGAGACAAAGAGACCUCAGUGAUAGUGGCAGAAAAGUGGUCGUCUUACGUUGAGAAUUAUUCGGGUACGGCUAAAGGCAAAUCGACGACGUCGUUAAUAACGACGACGAUUAGUGGUGGUGUAGGAGUGCCAGGACAAAGUUCCAAGGACGUUACUUCCUCAACCGAUUCUAAUGCGGCAGCUAGUCAUCCUGUGAGUAGCGACCAGGCAUCAAAGGGGGGGAGGGGAAGAAAGCGCAAGAAUACUGACGUUAACAAGAAGGAAUCGAAGAGUGAUACAGAGAAUAUGGAAGAUAUGUCUAUAGAAAAAAGUCACAGUGACGAUUUAUAAUGAUUAAUAUCAUUACCAUAAACGUUAUUAUUACUACUACGUACUGCGUGUAAAGAACAACUGAUUCGAGACACAUUUAAAUGAAUCUCUCUCUAUCUCAGUCUCCCUGCGAUGAUUUUUAGGCUCUUUAAAAAUAAAACGUAGAUCUGGGGCUUAGCGCAUAUACUUCUAAGGUUGAUGGGAACGGUUGGAACAGUGGACACAGCAAUGCAGUCAGCGGCAGCAGUGGUAGUGAAACAUUAAGUACAUUUUUGAAGGGU
This 5087-nucleotide unclassified non-coding RNA is filed under the name Trichogramma pretiosum. RNAcentral describes it as "paired amphipathic helix protein Sin3a-like, transcript variant X2". The record is from RNAcentral. Lineage: Eukaryota; Metazoa; Arthropoda; Insecta; Hymenoptera; Trichogrammatidae.